Molecule: long non-coding RNA, 1776 nt
Organism: Carassius gibelio (silver crucian carp)
Lineage: Eukaryota; Metazoa; Chordata; Actinopteri; Cypriniformes; Cyprinidae
Exons: 2
Source: RefSeq, a predicted model, not a curated record
GAGUUAUAAAUAAAAUAGCAUUUGGCUAACGUUAGCAUAGACGCUUUUUGGUGUACUGUUUCGCGUAAGAAUUGAAAUUUCAACUUUUUUUUGAUAAUUAUUGAUAUUGAGUGUCCAGGGAAUAUUUCUGAAGUGGUUUGAUUCCGAUUGGUUAAAAAUCCUAAGACUAGUUCGCAAAAGUAUGUUUCGGAUAUAGCUCGAUUUUGCGAGAAAACGGUGCGUCGUAGAGCAAAAAAUGCAGCUGUGCACUUUUGUUCGGGCUAACCCAAGGAUUGCAACGAUGCCUUGUUUUUGAGUCUACGGCUAACGGUUUACGAUCUGCGGCCAAAAAUGUCCAAAAUUUUAGUUUUUUGCGCUGUAGCGCCCCCGUUAGGCCGAUUGGGCUAAGACUUUGAUAAGUUCUCCCCAAAAUGAGCUCUACGAUCUGUCCAAAUUUCAGCUCUCUAGGCCUUACGGUUUGGGCUGCACGUUCAGUUCUAGGGCGGAAGAAUAAUAAUAAUAAUAAUUAAAGCUGCAAGCAGCAUUUACCGGGGUUCAAGCACAUUAAGGCCUCUGAGGUGGUCAGAGCCAACCUGGAUGUAUGGAUGACAGUUAAACACAUCCAAAAUGGAGAACAGGCUAACAGACAGACACGCACACUGAAAGUAAAUGAUUAGACUAAUAUAUGUAUACUCUAUAAGCAUAUGCACACACACACACACACACACACACACACACACACACACACAAAGACACACAAAGAUACACAUAUACAUGCACAAACAUUUUGUGGCAGAUAUAGGUAUUUGAUAAAAAGUGAUAGGUGACAAUAAGCUUAUUGCAAGUCUUCUCUUUUUUUAGAGUUUAGAUGUCAUUUUCAGAUUAAACUGUAAUCAUAAUGUGGCAAAAUUGUUAAAACUGAUACAUCUGUAUGAACAAAAUGGAAAACAUCAAUUCAAUGAGAUACAAAAUGUUAUAACAGUUAAUUUAUUAAUGUUUUGGCAUGAAUUCAUAAAAACAGUACUAGCUGAAAGAGCCCAUUAGUGGUCUUCCGCUGCCAUCUAGUGGUUAUAAAUUGCAUUUACUCAAACAACACUGUGUUUUUAAACAUAACUGUUAAAGUGUUGUUGUUGGUUUUUUUUGCCCUAUCUCUCUAAAAUGUUGCAUGCUUGUUUAGAAUGAAAUUAUGCAUUACUUUACACAGUUUUGAUAAUUUGUGGGAUUUCUGUUUGUAUUAAUAGGUCUUUGUGCCUCUGGGGUGGUCUCGGCCAACCAGGAUGUAUGGAUGACAUUUAAAUACAUCCAAAAGACAGACACACACACACUGAAAUUAAAUGAUUAAACUAGUUUUUAAGAGUUUAGAUGUCAUUCAGGUUUCACUGUAAUCACAAUGUGGCAAAAUUGUAAAAAAUGAUGUGUCUGUAUGAACAAAAUGGAAAACAUUGAUUCAAUAAGAUGUAACAUGUUAUAACAGUUAAUUUAUUAAUGUUUUGGCAUGAAUUCAUGAAUCCUUUCUACAGUACUGUUCAUUUUAACUGAAUGAGCCCAUUAGUGGUCUUCCGCUGCCAUCUAGUGGUUAUAAAUUGCAUUUACUGAAACAACACUGUGUUUCUAAACAUAACUGUUAUAGUGUUGUUAUUUUUUUUAUUUUUGCCCAAUCUCUCUUAAAUUUUGCAUGCUUGUUUAGAAUGAAAUCAUGCAUUAUUUUACACAGUUUUGAUCAUUUGUGGGAUUUCUGUUUGUAUUAAUAGGCCUUUGUGUACACUAUGCAAAUAACAUAAUAUAAAAUUACUGGUU